UGUCCGGUGGUGUAAUGGCAGCACUGCGCUCUUUGGAAGCGUAAGACAAGGUUCGAGUCCUUGCCGGACAA
This 71-nucleotide transfer RNA is filed under the name Bacteroidota bacterium. RNAcentral describes it as "Bacteroidetes bacterium tRNA-Gln". It matches the Rfam family "tRNA". Rfam says of the family: Transfer RNA (tRNA) molecules are approximately 80 nucleotides in length. Their secondary structure includes four short double-helical elements and three loops (D, anti-codon, and T loops). Further hydrogen bonds mediate the characteristic L-shaped molecular structure. tRNAs have two regions of fundamental functional importance: the anti-codon, which is responsible for specific mRNA codon recognition, and the 3' end, to which the tRNAs corresponding amino acid is attached (by aminoacyl-tRNA synthetases). tRNAs cope with the degeneracy of the genetic code in two manners: having more than one tRNA (with a specific anti-codon) for a particular amino acid; and 'wobble' base-pairing, i.e. permitting non-standard base-pairing at the 3rd anti-codon position. Lineage: Bacteria; Pseudomonadati; Bacteroidota. RNAcentral also lists the same sequence under 1 other name. The record is from RNAcentral.